GAUGAAGAACGCAGCGAAAUGCGAUAAGUAAUGUGAAUUGCAGAAUUCAGUGAAUCAUCGAAUCUUUGAACGCAUCUUGCGCUCCUUGGUAUUCCGAGGAGCAUGCCUGUUUGAGUGUCAUUAGAUUCUCAACUACACUGAUUUUGAAUUGGUGUGGCUUGGAUUUGGGGGGAAAAUUGUUGUGGGCUUUUUGUAUAGUCUGCUCCCCUGAAAUUGAUUAGCGGUACCUUUGUGGAACUGUCUACAGGUGUGAUAAUUAUCUACAUCUUAGACAUCUGCUGGAAUGCUGCUUUCUAAACCUUACUUGUAUUGACAAUCUUGACCUCAAAUCAGGUAGGACUACCCGCUGAACUUAAGCAUAUCAAUAAGCGGAGGA
Molecule: unclassified non-coding RNA, 376 nt
Filed under: soil metagenome
Description: partial contains 5.8S ribosomal RNA, internal transcribed spacer 2, and large subunit ribosomal RNA
Rfam family: 5.8S ribosomal RNA (bases 1-120)
Source: RNAcentral